Molecule: non-coding RNA, 29 nt
Filed under: Halopenitus persicus
Lineage: Archaea; Methanobacteriati; Methanobacteriota; Halobacteria; Halobacteriales; Haloferacaceae
Source: RNAcentral
GUUUCAGAGGACCCUUGUGGGGUUGAAGC